AUAAAUUUGAAAUUUCUGCACCACUUUCAGGUCACCAUGUGUAAGUAUAUUUUAUUCAGAAGUUCUUCACACAUCUCCGUUCCAUCAUUGCUCAAAUCAUCUCCUAUUCUCUUCAACGAUUGCACUUAACCACAACACAAAUCCGACCGCCAUGAACUCUUCGCCUGAAACACGCUUGAUAACGCCGUCCAUGUAUGCUUUUUGCAUCGUCUACUUAAUCGGUCUUGACAAGAAACGAUUGCAAGAAACACGAAGAUCGCUUCCUGCGAUCGUCGACGAGGGACCAGAAGCCGACCCGUGUCGGCGCGUUCCGCCGCGAAAAAAUCGGUUACACUUUUAUGGACGUCCCGAGCUGAGGGAGUUUCUUGCGGCACGCGGCUCGUUCCUGCACUCCGCGCGACCAGCUUCGUGCCACAACCACGCACUCCUCGCCUCUUGACAGCUUCGACAUCGAAUAAUUUGUACCGCGGGCUAAUUUACCGAUCGAGAAAAAGUCGAGCGGCUCCCUCUCGAGGGGAAGCGAUACACGCGAUUGCCAGUAGACUGAUUGCGAGGAUGUCACUGGGUGUUUCAAGGAGCAUGCAAAGAGAUCGAAAAACGUGUAAUUAAGCGAAGGAAGGAAACGUGGGGGUACGGAGGAUUCGCGAUGUCGAUUACUUAUAUCGUGUCGUAACGGGGUUUUCAAUGGUUUUGUGUUCGAUUGCCUGAUGUACGAGUGUGGAAUGAUUUGCGAUUGGUAACCUUCACUGCUUCUAACGGCAAUAUGUACUAUAUGUUUCUUUUUGUGACUAUGAAAUGGAGUGUAUGGAUAUGUAAAAAUUAUGUGAGUAGAAAUUGCAUCCAGCAAUUAGAGAAUCCGAGCCGUUAAGAAAUCUUUUCUCGAAUCGCUUCGUUUGAAAUAGUGUAAUAUGUGCUAUGAAAUGUGUGUACGUAUGUCUGGAUGUGUGAACGCUUUUGGAACUGGAUGGUUUAUCUACAUAUGUAAGAAGUUGAAGCGUCGUUUGAGUGCGCUGUUGUAGAAAACACGUUUGCGAAAGGAAGACACUUUCCGGACAACCUAAUAGACUCUUUCUUGGUCGACGGAAGAAAACACGUUAAAAUGAAGCAAACUACAAUAAAGAAGAGUUAUAGUAUUUUCAAAAAGAGACACGUUCGACAGCGGGAGAGGGCAACUUACGUAAUAUCAAGCACGCCAACUG
Bombus huntii is the source of this 1199-nucleotide long non-coding RNA. RefSeq lists it as uncharacterized. The transcript is spliced from 3 exons. Lineage: Eukaryota; Metazoa; Arthropoda; Insecta; Hymenoptera; Apidae. The record is from RefSeq and is a predicted model, not a curated record.